GACGAACGCUGGCGGCGUGCCUAAUACAUGCAAGUAGAACGCUGAAGGAGGAGCUUGCUUCUCUGGAUGAGUUGCGAACGGGUGAGUAACGCGUAGGUAACCUGCCUGGUAGCGGGGGAUAACUAUUGGAAACGAUAGCUAGUACCGCAUAAGAGUAGAUGUUGCAUGACAUUUGCUUAAAAGGUGCAAUUGCAUCACUACCAGAUGGACCUGCGUUGUAUUAGCUAGUUGGUGGGGUAACGGCUCACCAAGGCGACGAUACAUAGCCGACCUGAGAGGGUGAUCGGCCACACUGGGACUGAGACACGGCCCAGACUCCUACGGGAGGCAGCAGUAGGGAAUCUUCGGCAAUGGACGGAAGUCUGACCGAGCAACGCCGCGUGAGUGAAGAAGGUUUUCGGAUCGUAAAGCUCUGUUGUAAGAGAAGAACGAGUGUGAGAGUGGAAAGUUCACACUGUGACGGUAUCUUACCAGAAAGGGACGGCUAACUACGUG
RNAcentral lists this ribosomal RNA (495 nucleotides) under uncultured bacterium. RNAcentral describes it as "partial 16S ribosomal RNA". It matches the Rfam family "Bacterial small subunit ribosomal RNA", at positions 28 to 507 of the family's 1533-position model. The record is from RNAcentral.